CGUCUUGCGCCUGCGCCUGCGCAUAAACCCGCGAAGCGGGGGAUUAGGUUCGCCGGAACCCACGCCUCGGUCUUCUGCUUCCGGGUCGCAGCCAUGGCGGUGGCAAAUUCAAGCCCUGUUAAUCCCGUGGUGUUCUUUGAUGUCAGCAUUGGCGGCCAGGAAGUUGGCCGCAUGAAGAUCGAGCUGUUUGCGGACGUUGUGCCUAAGACGGCCGAGAAUUUUAGGAAUGCCCUCAGCUGUGAUGCCAUGGUAACUGAUUCGUUCACUCUUUUCCCUUUAAGGCAGUUCUGCACUGGAGAAUUCAGAAAAGAUGGGGUUCCGAUAGGCUACAAAGGGAGCACCUUCCACAGGGUCAUAAAGGAUUUCAUGAUUCAGGGUGGGGAUUUUGUUAAUGGAGAUGGUACUGGAGUUGCCAGUAUUUACCGGGGGCCAUUUGCAGAUGAAAAUUUUAAACUCAGACACUCAGCUCCAGGCCUGCUUUCCAUGGCAAACAGUGGUCCCAGUACAAAUGGCUGCCAGUUCUUCAUCACCUGCUCUAAAUGUGAUUGGCUGGAUGGGAAACACGUAGUGUUUGGAAAAAUCAUUGAUGGACUUCUAGUGAUGCGAAAGAUCGAGAAUGUUCCCACAGGCCCCAACAAUAAGCCCAAGCUGCCUGUGGUGAUCUCACAGUGUGGGGAGAUGUAGUCCAGAGCAAGACUGAUCAGUAUACUUCGCAACUUUAUGCUGGGGAACCAAAGGUCUGACGGAGGGCAAGAGUCAGACCAGUUCUGCUCUUCCAGGAAAAGCAGACCUUCACCUCUCUGCCAUUGUGGGCCUUCCUUGCUCUGGGUGACGCUCUUGAGUAAGAUAAUCCGGAUUGGCCCCUGUGUUUGCUUCCCUGCCUGCUGCGGCCCUUUUUGAUCAAGAGACCUUGGAAGUGUCACAGAUUCACAACCCAAGAUUUUCUGUUUAAGUUUUCAAUUGUAAAUAAAGUUUUGUUUUGUUUUGGUA
Mustela lutreola (European mink) is the source of this 990-nucleotide RNA transcript. It is a transcript of the gene named peptidylprolyl isomerase H, with no coding region annotated. The transcript has 11 exons. Lineage: Eukaryota; Metazoa; Chordata; Mammalia; Carnivora; Mustelidae. The record is from RefSeq and is a predicted model, not a curated record.